AGCUUAUCUUGCGCAGCUUAGGUGGGAGGCUAUGAACCUUUUCUUCUGGGAAGAGGGGAGCCAUCAGUGAGAUACCACUCUUGGUAAGCUAGAGCGCUCAGUCUUCACCGUCAUCCGGUAAGACGACAGUUUCAGGCGGGCAGUUUGACUGGGGCAGUCACCUCCCAAAAGGUAAUGGAGGUGUGCAAAGGUUCCCUCAGGCUGGACGGAAAUCAGCCAUAGAGUGUAAAAGCAUAAGGGAGCUUGACUGCGAGACUGACAUGUCAAGCAGGGACGAAAGUCGGCUUUAGUGAUCCGACGGUGCUGUGUGGAAAGGCCGUCGCUCAACGGAUAAAAGUUACUCUAGGGAUAACA
This 354-nucleotide ribosomal RNA is filed under the name uncultured eukaryote. RNAcentral describes it as "LSU rRNA". It matches the Rfam family "Bacterial large subunit ribosomal RNA", at positions 2126 to 2479 of the family's 2925-position model. The record is from RNAcentral.